RNAcentral lists this ribosomal RNA (397 nucleotides) under uncultured bacterium. Its description in RNAcentral is "partial 16S ribosomal RNA". It matches the Rfam family "Bacterial small subunit ribosomal RNA", at positions 523 to 918 of the family's 1533-position model. The record is from RNAcentral.
AUACGUAGGGGGCGAGCGUUGUCCGGAAUGAUUGGGCGUAAAGGGCGCGUAGGCGGCCCGGUAAGUCUGGAGUGAAAGUCCUGUUUUUAAGAUGGGAAUUGCUUUGGAUACUGUCGGGCUUGAGUGCAGGAGAGGUAAGUGGAAUUCCCAGUGCAGCGGUGAAAUGCGUAGAGAUUGGGAGGAACACCAGUGGCGAAGGCGGCUUACUGGACUGUAACGGACGCUGAGGCGCGAAAGUGUGGGGAGCAAACAGGAUUAGAUACCCUGGUAGUCCACACUGUAGACGAUGAAUGCUAGGUGUAGGGGGUAUCGACCCCUUCUGUGCCGCAGUCAACACAAUAAGCAUUCCGCCUGGGGAGUACGGCCGCAAGGUUGAAACUCAAAGGAAUUGACGGGG